Molecule: ribosomal RNA, 446 nt
Filed under: Streptomyces sp. M46(2015)
Lineage: Bacteria; Bacillati; Actinomycetota; Actinomycetes; Kitasatosporales; Streptomycetaceae
Description: bacterial SSU rRNA
Rfam family: Bacterial small subunit ribosomal RNA
Source: RNAcentral
UCUUGGCGGCGAAAGCUCCGGCGGCAGAUGAGCCCGCGGCCUAUCAGCUUGUUGGUGAGGUAAUGGCUCACCAAGGCGACGACGGGUAGCCGGCCUGAGAGGGCGACCGGCCACACUGGGACUGAGACACGGCCCAGACUCCUACGGGAGGCAGCAGUGGGGAAUAUUGCACAAUGGGCGCAAGCUUGAUGCAGCGACGCCGCGUGAGGGAUGACGGCCUUCGGGUUGUAAAUCUCUUUCAGCAGGGAAGAAGCGAAAGUGACGNUACCUGCAGAAGAAGCGCCGGCUAACUACGUGCCAGCGGCCGCGGUAAUACGUAGGGCGCAAGCUGUGCCCGGAAUUAUUGGGCGAAAAGAGCUCGCACGCGGUUUGUCGCGUCGGUUGUGAAAGCCCGGGAUUUAACCCGUUUCUGCAGUCUAUACGGGCAGAUAAAUUUCGUCGGAAAA